GGUACUGUCGUUUAUGGAGGUAGACAAAUCUCCAGGGCCUGUUUAGAUAUAUCCAAGGACAUUGUGGAGAGAGGAAAUUGCGGGAGCCCUAGUUGAUAUUUACGAGUCGUCUUUAAAUACAGGAGAGGUGCCGGAAGACUGGAGGGUGGCAGAUGUUGUGCCUUUAUUCAAGAAGGGCUGCAGGAAAAAUGUUGGGAACUAUACACCGUUGAGCUUAACAUCUGUAGUUGGAAAGUUACUAGAGGGUAUUCUGAGGGGUAAGAUGUACAGACAUCGAGCCGAAUAAGGGCUGAUUAGGGAUAGUCAGCAUGGUUUUGUACGUGGGAAGUCGUGUCUCACAAAUCUGAUUGAGUUUUUUGAAGUUGUGACCAAAAGGUCGAUGAGGACAGCUGUAGAUGUUGUGUACAUGGACUUCAGUCAGGCAUUUGAUAAGGUUCUGCAUGGCAGGCUGCUCUGAAAGGUUAGAUUGCAUGGGAUCCAAGGAGAGAUAGCUGAAUGGAUAGAACAUUGGCUUCCUGAAGGGAAGCAGAGGGUGAUGGUGGAAGGUUGCAUCUUGGACUGGAAGCCUGUGAAUAGUGGUGUGCCUCAGGGUUCGGUGCUGGGCCCGUUACUUUGUCAUCUACAUCAAUGGUUUGGAAGAGAACAUACUGGGCAAGAUUAGUAAGUUUGCAAAUUAUACAAAAGUGGGCUGUAUUGCAGAUAGUGAAGAUGGUUGUGAAAGAUUGCAGCAGGAUCUGGGUCGCUUGGCCUGGUGUGCGGAGGAAUGGUUGAUGGAAUUUAAUACAGUGAAAUGUGAGGUGUUGCAUUUUAGGAAGUCUAACCUAGGCAGGACCGACACAGUGUCUUGGGGCUCUGGGGAGUGUUGUAGAGCAGAGAGAUCCAGGAGUGCAGAUGCAUGGUUGCUUGAAGGUGCAGUCGCAGAUAGAUAGGGUGGUCAAAAAGGCUUAUGGCACAUUCGCCAUCAGUCAGAGUAUUGAGUAUAGAAGUUGGGAGGUGGUUGCAGUUGUAUAGGAAGUCGGUAAGGCUGCAUUUAGAGUAUUGUGUUCAGUUCUGGGCAAAGAUCGUAGAGGGACAAGAUAGACCACUCCUCGAAAAACGCGUAGUAUGACGUGUGUGACCGUCGACGCCAUAUUGUUAAGCAUUUAUUGGGCUGUAAUGGCGUCCUCAGCUAAAUCUACAUCUCACUGCUCCGCUAUCAACUGUUCUAAUCGUAAAUCUAAACGACCAGAGCUGUCAUUCUUUAGGUUCCCCAAUAAAAAAGAAAGAUGUCAACAGUGGGUCCAGAAUACUCAUCGACAAGAUCUCCUGCACCGAACUGCAGAGUAUUUGUCAAAUAACUGCCGUCUUAUGUACAUUGUGUGAAAUUGUGAUUUGUUAACUGCACAAAACUAAUGCAAAUGGCGAUACAUGCCUGCAUUUGGCCCAUACCCCUCUAAACCUGUCCUAACCAUCAAAUAACCUAACAGAACUGUCAUGAGGAAAGAUUUAAAAGACUAGGCUUGUAUUCACUGGAGUUUAGAAGGAUGAGGGGGGAUCUUAUCAUAUUGUUUACAGUGUACUAUGUUUACAGAUUCUGUUGUGCUGCUGAAAGUAAGAAUUUAAUUGUUCUAUCUGGGACAAGCUAGAUGCAGGAAAAUUGUUCUACAUGACAAUAAAACCCUCUUGUUAGCUGCAAGGGGAUCUUAUAGAAACAUCUAAAUGAAUAAAAGGACUGAACAAGCUAGAUACAGGAAAAAUGUUCCCAAUGUUGGGCGAGUCCAGAACCAGGGGCCACAGUCUUGGAACAAAGGGGAGGCCAUUUAAGACUGAGGUGAGAACAAACUUUUUCACCCAGAGAGUUGUGAAUUUGUGGAAUUCCCUGCCACAGAGGGCAGUGGAGGCCAAAUCACUGGGUGGAUUUAAGAGAGAGUUAGAUAGACCUCUAGGGGCUAGUGGAAUCAAUGGGUAUGGGGAGAAGGCAGGCAUGGGUUAUCGAUUGGGGCUGAUCAGCCAUGAUCACAAUGAAUGGCGGUGUUGGGUCGAAGUGCCAAAUGGCCUCCUCCUGCACCUAUUUUCUAUAUUUCUAAAACACUCAUCCAGCAAUCCUCGAGCCCACCAGCUCAUCCCGUAGUCAAUUCAUCAGCUUUUCCAUAAGAACUUCCAUCAGUUCUUGCAAAAGAAUGACAAUCAGCCAAUCUCGAUUACCCUCAGCCCAUCAAGCAGUCCCUUAAUUCGCACAGAAGUCUGAACUAUUGAAUGCUCACUGCAUCUCUUUCCAUGUCAGCAAGUUAAUAUCCAGCUGCAUAUGAA
Leucoraja erinaceus (little skate) is the source of this 2289-nucleotide long non-coding RNA. RefSeq lists it as uncharacterized. The record is from RefSeq and is a predicted model, not a curated record. The transcript has 2 exons. Lineage: Eukaryota; Metazoa; Chordata; Chondrichthyes; Rajiformes; Rajidae.